RNAcentral lists this long non-coding RNA (3173 nucleotides) under Mus musculus (house mouse). RNAcentral's name for it is "long non-coding RNA chr3:103962590-103965763". Lineage: Eukaryota; Metazoa; Chordata; Mammalia; Rodentia; Muridae. The record is from RNAcentral.
ACAUCCAAGCACUCCUGUGUGACAUGUACAUAUUCAAACACAUUUUUUAACUUUUUUAAAUUUUGAUGUGAAGUUAUAGUUUUAUAACUGGCUUAAGUUAAGUUUUAUUGGAGAAAUCUUGCCUAUAAUUCUAUAAAGAGAAAUGACAUUCCACAAAUGUCAAGCAUAUCUUUUUUACACAGAUUAUGCAAAGCUAAGAGUUGUAUCGUUAGUACAGUAUGUAAUAGUGGGUCUGCUGCUACUUUCUGUUUUAAGGUGUGAGGUUACAAUUCAAUCUCUUCUUCAAAUCAAAAAAAGAAUUCUCUGGAAUAGCAGGUUCUUACUUGGUAUUUACUUCCCUUGAUUUUAUCUUUCCUUGUCUCUUGCCAUAUUUGCUUUAUGUGGUAGAAAGCAGAUUUAUGGUUUAAUACUUGUGUCUUCAUGGCACCUCGUUAGUUUCCACAGUAAAAUGAUAUUUGGUUGCAGGAAAGGCUCCUGCAUCUGGUACAUGGACAAGUGAGUUGUUUAGUUCUAACCACAAAGAAGACAUGGUCUCUAAAGAAAACUCUCUGGCUUCUGGUUUUCAGCAAAAGAGGAAACACAGCAUUCUCUGAUCCAGGCCGUCUUUUUGUGUCUGUUAUUUAAAACCCAGUGGCUACUUCAAUUAAACAAACCUCUAAAGAUGACAAACAAAAAUCUAAACAUUGGCUAUACAUGAUCCAUGGUUCAUUGAUCUUUUCUAGGAUAUUUACUAACUAUACAGGCUGUUUUGAGGAGGAGAGAUAAUGCUGACCUGUUGUGCUUCCUAGUAUCCUCAUAUCAAAGUUAGAGAACUGCACCAGUCUUACUGAUGAGGGCUGCCACAGCUGAGCAUCAAACUAAGGAGAAACUAUUCUUGUGACUUGGCAUCUACUUUUGAAAACACUUUACAAUUUUAUCAGGCUAAUAAUACCUGGGUUUGUUCAUUGUUAUUCAGUGUUGCUAUUUUCUAAUAGCAGGCAUUAGACUUCCAUCCUAGUUUCAGGUAGGCUGAAACUUAGUGUCUGGAUAUUUACUUUGUUUUCCCUUUUUCAAACAGACCUCCUUCAUCCAAGUAGUGUGGCUCUUAUUUUGGAAUGUUCAUGUGCUAUGCAUUAUCCUUUCUCUAGUUAUCAACUUGGUAGGCCUUUUGUUUACUAAAGGAAGAGUACUCUCCACACCUGAGACCAGAUUCUUGUAUCUACCUGGUUACAGUGCAAUUUGAUUUUUUUUUCCUGGAUGGUGAGAUUUGAGUUAUUUGCAUUAACAUAGGCGAAAGAAAAAGAUGCUGCUUUGUUAUGUCUGUCACCAUGGAAACUUCGCUGCAUCUUUGGAAAUAUCAAAUAUGAAUUUUCUCUAAAAUAUUCUGAAAUAGGUUAAAUCUUAUAUAAAUAUUACUUUGUGCAAUAUUGUUGUGUAGUUAAAUGCAUAUUAGCAAAGUAUAGAGGUCACUGUGUAAACCGAUAGAAAAGUAACCAUCAGCAAAUACUACAGUGAUUAGUUAGAAUCUGUAUUAUUCCUUAUAUAUAUGUAUAUGUGUGUAUUCUCUGUUACAAAGGAUGAAGACAAAUAAAUAGGGAAACACUUCAAUGUAAACCAUUUAUGAAUUGGAAGUGAUGUUGCUUUUAGUUAUCUUUGUAAAUAAGGUAAUUAGAAUGGUAUGAAAGGUAAUGUGAUUAUUACAGGGGUGUUUUUAAAUCCUGUGUAUAAAUUCUAGGGUAAAUUCUAGUUUAUCAAACUAGUUUUUAAGGGACCUUUGAGGGUAUUUUUUGUUGUUAUUUUGUGGAGAAAAGGGGCAUAUCACAAAAUGAAUGGGUUUGGGUUAUUUCUUAUUUUUAUUUUUUUCUGUCCAGAAGAAUUUCAUAGAGCUUUACCAGGCUGUGCAAAGAAAAAUUCUUCUCAGGCAACAUUUGCUUUUAAAAAUAAUCAUGAAGAGAAAAAGUUGUUAACGCAAAAAGUUUUAUUUUGUUUUUCUUGUCUUCCAAGAUCCGAUUUCCCCACCUCCCACUUGCCAUCCAGCAGAUGCCAUCCUGUCAUCUAAGCUGGUCAUUACUAAUACACAAGGAGACUGUCUCCUGACAGCCAGCACUGUGCAAUCACUCAGGAACCAGCGGAUCUGCAAAGACCUACAAUCAAACGCAAAUCUCCAUUUUCCUUUUACAAAGCAUUCUACCCUCACUUCCAGUAUAAACAUAUUAAAAGAAUAUAAAAAUGUUGAAAAUCAUGUACUAAUGAAGUCAUUGUAUAUUAGAUUGCAAUAGAAUGGAAAGACACAUUUAGCUAGUAAUGUACCUGGAAAUCCUGAAUGUCCUACGUGAGUAUUAGAUUUUGAUAGCAUGCUUUAAAGACUGAUGAAUAUAAAAGCAGAAGCUUCGAGUUUCCUGCUGCUUUCAAAACUGUGUCCUAGUUGAGUGAUACAAAUGAUCGCAAGUUUUCUAAAUCAUUAAACUAUUUGGUUGGUGGAGUGAGGCAUGGUCUGGUAUCCUCUGAUUUGUAAAAUAGCGAUGGCAGUGAAGUUGUAACUGAAAUUGAAGCUGAUCUUCCUUUCUGGUAUGUUAUCUAUUGUGCCAGCCCUUGAGAUUACUUGCAGAAUGUGGCUAUAAGUUUUAGUAGUUUAUGGAUCAGAGGGAUAUUUUUAAAAUAUGCUAAUCGAAAGAACCUAGUAAAUUAAAUAUUCCUAACAGCAAAUAGAAUGAUUUUAUGGUAACCAUUAAAAAGAAUAAGUCUUCCCCUGUCCCAGAGGUCAUUCUAUAAUUAUCAAGAUAGGAUAAGAGUUAGGGUUACGAUUCUGAGAGAUGUCCCAAAUUCAUAAAGCAAUAAUAAUAACCUUUAUAUUGGUUCCCUCUUCCAAAGUUUAACUCUUGAGAAAUGAAUUCUUAGUCUUAAUUGUACUUUGCUUAUUCAGUACUUACAGUUUUACAUGAUUUUUACUCUAAGACUUUUGGAAAGUGCCCUGCGCCCUCAGAAACAGUCGGACUAUUAGUUCACAAAUACUACAAGCUCUUGUAUGGGGAAAAGAGCUUAUUUUAAAUAAUUUGCUAAACUUUAGGAAAUGAUAUAUCAGUCUUAACAGGCAUAAAGAUCUCACCUAAUGACUUGAGAAACUUUUGCUUAGUGCUUUUUUUCCCCUGUAUAAAUAUUGUCUAGAAGGAAAGUUAAUAUAGGAACAAGACUCC